This 3023-nucleotide long non-coding RNA is filed under the name Mus musculus (house mouse). RNAcentral's name for it is "long non-coding RNA chr14:48134223-48137246". The record is from RNAcentral. Lineage: Eukaryota; Metazoa; Chordata; Mammalia; Rodentia; Muridae.
AGGCAGGCGGGACAUGACUGUAGCUCCUUCCCACCAUAGGCUCAAUCACUGCUCGGGAGUUUAACUGGUUAAACGCACGCAUUUCAGCUUCUGGAAGUUUGUGUUGUGAUGUUCCAUGGCUCACCAGACUGCACUGAGCCUGUGGCACUGUCAGGAAUCAUUUUUCACUCAAGAUCAGAAGCAGGUAAAGUUGUGGUUAGGAUUUGCUGGAUCAGCAGGGUGUGGGGAAUGGGGUAGCGGGACUGGAGGUUCCUGGGAGUCCUGCUGGAGCUGGCUCUGCUGUUUACAUUCCCCCUGGAGCUCCUCCUCCAGGCUCAGGGCAGGGGUCAAAGGAUGUCCGCCCCUGGUCUUCCUGUUCAGACUAAGUGGACAAGGGAGCUCCACUCCCCUGAGAGAAGGGCUUUCUUGUUGGCCCCUAAGCUCAGGCUAAGCAAAUCUCUGACCUAAUUCGGCUGAUUUAGUCUCGUGACCGCUAUCGCGGUACAGAAAUCACUGAGCAAAAGGCCCCUCUUCAGUUUUGCUUGAGGAUUUGUUUUUAACUUUCAGUUUCCUGAGCUUAAAUCCACUUUUAAGUUGCAUGGCCUGGAUUCUUGCAACUUACAGAUAUCAAUAGCAAUCAUUUUAGCUUUCUUCUAUUGAAAGCAGUUGUAAAUGGAAACAAGUUUUAAGGCAGACUGUUCAUACUCUAGCAACAUGGUAUUACCCUGAAGAGUUGUACAACAGAAGCCUAUGUGAAGAAUUUAUUUGAAAGACGAUGUUAAUUUUAUUAGUUUUGCAACUCACGACCUAGCUAUGCUUUUAUAUACCUCACUUUACACUUUACCAAUUGAGUUCCUUUAAAAAGUGUUAGCCAGCUAACUCUUUUUUUAAAAAAAGAAUUUGAUUCAUGCUGAAAUUUUAAAAUAAAUCUAAUACCUCUUUUCUUCAUCAGAGUAGGUCUGAGUUAAUCAGCCAUUUAACACAAACUCUGUUUUUGGAGGGUAAGGAAGGACAGGAAUUGUCCUGUCAUUUCUAAGGUCCCUGUCUUCACAGGAGUCAUGAGAGGUGGAGGUGUGGCCUCUGAGAAUAAGUCGGUGUAGGCAAAGGCAAAGGCUCCCCCAGGAUGGUAAAUUCUCUGCAUGCACUGCUUAGGUAGGCAGGCAGUCUCUGCCCUCAGGGCUUUCCCUCCAGUCUCUGAAAUGUCCAGACCUUUCUCCUCCUGCUUUUUCAUCCUCUCUGCUUCUGCAGCAAGCUCACUCUUGCUUUUCAGCUCUUGUUUGGAGACCUUUAUGCUUGCAAAGUGUAGAUGUUUUCAGCUAGCCCCUUCUGGUGCGUGUCCCUGCAAACGUGCUGCUCUUGGCCAACUAUACUCCAUUUUACCAUGUUGAAGGUGGCUCACUGUAGCUUCGAAGCAAGACAGCUGUGGUAAUCUGGAAGCCAACUUGAGUUUACGUUUUUUCUCCUCAUCAGAAGGAACCAGAGAUCUUACCGUUAAGUUGGGUUUUCUUUUUUUGGCUGGCGGAAUGUGGCCAGCAGACGAUGAUAAGCCAUGUCUCCCUUCUUGCUUUUUAUCUGCUCCUCUCGCUAGCUUCUCACUCAGCCUUUACUCUGUGGGAUUCUCAAGUGAAUAUUCAUCUCCUUUCCCCAUCCCCACUCCUUUCUUUCCUUGUAGGGACCAUGGUAAGUAAUGACAUGUCUGAAAUUCAGGCGAUUCGUGUGGUUUAGCGGAAAUAAAAGGGAAGAAUGGGCUGAUUUCAAUGGCUUUCUUGUGCCUUGGCCGGCAGUGUAAUUGGAUAAAGCACUGUGAAUCCAGGACCUUGUUCUGAGUGGUGUCUGCAACAGCAUCGCUGUAUUCUAAGUGGGAAGCAGACACAGGCCAAGCUCUGUGAGCACAGCCAUCCUCACGACCUCCCAGCGCAGAAGGGAAGGGCUGGCCGCUCAGUGUGCGCACAGGUCUUUGGGAGAAGUGAUUUGUGAGCUGUGGUUUUAUAAAGUGGCUUAAUAAAACUGUUCAUUUGGUCUCCGUUGGGUUAAAGUAAGCAGCUGUCUAUGGUGAUUAUCUGGCUGAGGAGUUCUGCCUAAUACAUCUUCUUUCUACUAUAUGAUAAACACAUAUCAGUAAACAAACGGCCAGGGAAUCACAGCCCUUCAGGAAUGGUAGCCUCAAGAUCUGGGUGGGUGUGUCUGAUGAGUAAAUUUAUUACUGAAGAUAUCUCUCAAAGGAGAUAUCUCCAAGAGGUGACAUUUCACUUUUCUUUGACGAAUGUAUCAGCUGCAUAUGGUAACUAUUAUUAAAUUGAAAACAGCCUUUAUAUCCCUGCUAGAAUAUAUUUCAAAAUCUAGAAUGUUUAUUUCUUCUGGACCAGAGUAACUGAAUUUUUAAAAAAGACACAAGACCAACAAUGCAAUCCUGUGCAAGUUUUGUUCCCUAAGGACUCCAGGCUGGGAGGUUAGCAGGCUGGGAGGUUAUAUGGCAGAGACUCUGUUUGGCCAGCGCACCUCAGGAGUGUGUGCUGGCACACCAUGAAUGUUGAGGGUGAACUGGUUGCUUAGCAGAAAUUACUAUAGAAGAGUUUUUCUAAGUUACAGAUUUUUUUUUUAAGUGCAACUGAUAUCUAGCUGAGUCUUUGGUGGGUUCGGCUUGCUUCAUUGAUCUUUCAUAUAUUAGUGAUCAGCAGAUAACUGUGUGAAAUUAAAAGAGGUGGAGAACAGGGAUCUAUCGGAACACUCUAAAAGUUCGUCUCAAGUGUAAGUGCCUGCAGUUAGAAAGUGAAAGUUGAACAUCACAAGGGUCUCAGCCCUUUAGAUGGAAGGUUGGGAUGCUCAGGAGACUUCUGUACCCCUGGCCAAGGAUCCUCACACAUUCUGUGCAGCGGGCUUCUUCAGUGUCCUUCAGCUGGGUGGGUGGCUUAUUGAGGCCAGGGUGCCUUUUGUCAUUUCCAGAGUGUCUGGAUUUAGAUAAUGGGGCAACAAAAUAAACAUGUCAGCCUACCCAUCUGUGGAACAUGUAAUUUAGAAGGACCCCUGUUAGCUAAUUAUAUUUC